This 363-nucleotide unclassified non-coding RNA is filed under the name uncultured bacterium. RNAcentral describes it as "contains 16S-23S intergenic spacer region". The record is from RNAcentral.
UCCCUGUUACCAGGGCAGUCUAGCUAGAAAAAUUCAACUAACUAUAGGGGUUGCGCUCGUUGAUGGACUUAACCAAACAUCUCACGACACGAGCUGACGACGGCCAUGCAUCACCUGUCACUUGGCUCAAUAAAGCACUCACUUCUUUCGAAGUAAUUCCAAGGAUGUCAAGCCUGGGUAAGGUUCUUCGCUUACCUUCGAAUUAAACAACACGCUCCACUACUUGUGCGGGUCCCCGUCAAUUCCUUUAUGUUUUAGUCUUGCGACCGUACUCCACAGGCGGGGUGCUUAACGCGUUAGCUUCGCUACUGAAGGGGUCGAUACCUCCAACAGCUAGCACCCAUCGUUUACGGCGUGGACUAC